GUGAAUCAUCAAAUUUUUGAACGCAAAUUGCACUCUUUGGUAUUCCGGAGAGUAUGCCUGUUUGAGGGUCAGGUUAAAUAAAAAUCGGUGUGGUUGCUGUAUUUCGUGGUGAUGUAUAGGUUUUGGGUCGUCUUGGCUUCGGUUAAGUGUCUUAAAAUUUUGAAUGAUUUUUUUCGAAAGUAUUUAAUUGAUUUUACGUACGUUUGCGUUAUCGAAAAAUAGGUGUGGUU
RNAcentral lists this unclassified non-coding RNA (230 nucleotides) under Glomeraceae sp. Its description in RNAcentral is "partial contains 5.8S ribosomal RNA and internal transcribed spacer 2". The stretch from base 1 to 71 matches the Rfam family "5.8S ribosomal RNA", at positions 84 to 154 of the family's 154-position model. Lineage: Eukaryota; Fungi; Glomeromycota; Glomeromycetes; Glomerales; Glomeraceae. The record is from RNAcentral.